GGUUCUAUAGUGUAGCGGUUAUCACUCCGGAUUCUGACUUGAUCAGAACAUUCCGGCAACCCCGGUUCGAGUCCGGGUAGGACCU
Podospora australis is the source of this 85-nucleotide non-coding RNA. The record is from the annotation of a GenBank genome assembly. Lineage: Eukaryota; Fungi; Ascomycota; Sordariomycetes; Sordariales; Podosporaceae.